This 1660-nucleotide long non-coding RNA is filed under the name Coturnix japonica (Japanese quail). RNAcentral describes it as "lncRNA (ENSCJPG00005020197.1)". Lineage: Eukaryota; Metazoa; Chordata; Aves; Galliformes; Phasianidae. The record is from RNAcentral.
AUGUAUGGGGUGCUCUAAUCCCGUGUAUGGGGUUCUCUAAUCCAUGUAUGGGGUGCUCUAAUCCCAUAAUCCCAUGUAUGGGGUGCUCUAAUCCCAUGUAUGGGGUGCUCUAAUCCCAUGUAUGGGGUGCUCUAAUGUAUGGGGUGCUCCAAUCCCAUGUAUAGGGUGCUCUAAUCCCAUAAUCCCAUGUAUGGGGUGCUCUAAUCCAUGUAUGGGGUGCUCUAAUAUAUGGGGUGCUCUAAUCCCAUGUAUUGGAUGCUUGUUUCUCGCCCCCCCCUGCAGACCCCCUGUCCCCCACCCCAUGGCCUCAGUGGGGCUGUGGGAUCCAGCAGCGCUCAUUGACUUUGCCUUGUUGCUUUGACACCCCACAGCAAAGCAGCAGCUGCCCGUAGAGCAUCGGAUCAAGGCUGGUUUCCUCCUGCACACGCAAUGAAAUCACCCCUUGCACCUCCAGCAUCACCUCUGCUCCUCAACCACCACUUCUGCUGCUGGAACAGCACUGCAAGAGUCUCAUUUUCCCUUUGAUUGAGUCCCAGCCGUCGAGGGCAGGAGGAGGACCUGGAGCAGCACAAGGACCGAAGGGACAUCAGCUGAGCCCCCCCCCCACCCAAAGGACCCCCAUAUGUGAGUACCAGGCCCUGCAGUGUGAGCUGCCAUUAAACAUCCCCCUUUGCCUUCACUCCCACCCAUCUCCCUGCUGCGAUUCAGCGGCGCCGUGUUGGGGAAUAAAGCAAGAAUUCCCCAUCAAACUGCUGCUAAAAAAGGCAGGAAGGGGAGGAGGAGGAGGAGGAGGAGGAAGGAAUGGCUGGUUCUUAGGGGCAAAUGGCAGCAAUGGGGCCAUAAAGCAGCUCUGUGUGCCCCCACUGAAAGGCUGGGAGCCCUUUGAAGUCAAUGGGUGUGAGAUGCAUCCCCUGUUUGCACAGCGUGAGGCUGAACCCAGGGGAUCCCCAGCACUGAUCCCUCCCCCUGCGGCUUCAGCUUCCCCUUUUACACUUGGUUUCCAUCUCCAUCAGCUCACACGGGGCUGUUAAGGAGAUCCCAGCCCUGAGAUCCCAGCCCUGAGAUCCCAGCACUGAGAUCCCAGCACUGAGAUCCCAACACUGAGAUCCCAGCACUGAGAUCCCAACACUGAGAUCCCAGCACUGAGAUCCCAACACUGAGAUCCCAGCCCUGAGAUCCCAGCCCUGAGAUCCCAGCACUGAGAUCCCAGCACUGAGAUCCCAGCACUGAGCUGGCUCAGCAGCUCUACCUGUCCCCAUCCUGCAGCUGAAAUCAGGGCUGGGGGCUUUUGUGCCGUUAUAUGCCCUUAUAUGUGCUUACAGCCCCAUAUAGGGGGUAAUUGUGGGGUAUCAAGGCUGGGUACUGCCUUCAUUAUGUGCCCUGCUGUGCUUACAGCCCCAUAUAGGGGGUAAUUGGGGUAUCAGGGGGUAAUUGGGGUAUCAGGGCUGGGGGCUGCCUUCAUUAUAUGCCCUUCUAUGUGCUUACAGCCUCACAUAGGGGUCUAUUUGGGUCCCUGCCCCAUAGCUGUAUGGCACAGCUGGGAUGCUGAGCAGGGGUUUAUUAGGGCAGCAGGGCUGGGUGGGGGGGGCAGCUCAGUGUCUGUGUCACCUCGUGGUGCUGAAGCUGAAGCUCGUGCCCUUGUGAUGCCCCCCAUGGAGCU